UACGUAGGUCCCGAGCGUUGUCCGGAUUUAUUGGGCGUAAAGCGAGCGCAGGUGGUUUAUUAAGUCUGGUGUAAAAGGCAGUGGCUCAACCAUUGUAUGCAUUGGAAACUGGUAGACUUGAGUGCAGGAGAGGAGAGUGGAAUUCCAUGUGUAGCGGUGAAAUGCGUAGAUAUUAGGAGGAACACCAGUGGCGAAGGCGGCCUGCUGGGCUUUAACUGACGCUGAGGCUCGAAAGUGUGGGUAGCAAACAGG
RNAcentral lists this ribosomal RNA (252 nucleotides) under uncultured bacterium. RNAcentral's name for it is "partial 16S ribosomal RNA". It matches the Rfam family "Bacterial small subunit ribosomal RNA", at positions 524 to 776 of the family's 1533-position model. The record is from RNAcentral.